This is a long non-coding RNA of Phyllostomus discolor (pale spear-nosed bat), 7590 nucleotides long. RefSeq lists it as uncharacterized. The record is from RefSeq and is a predicted model, not a curated record. NCBI's taxonomy places the organism in Eukaryota, Metazoa, Chordata, Mammalia, Chiroptera, Phyllostomidae. The transcript has 2 exons.
CCUAAGCUCCAAGAGUCCUUCUUUCGUCUCUGUGACUUGUUUCCUGAGCCCAUUUCUUCUACAGCUCACUUCUUCUAUCUCCACAACUUUCUAAAUAAACUUUCUCCUAGAGUUCAAGUCUUGGGCCUGAAUUCUUUCUCAGCCUGGACUGAGGCUGCUGAGCCAAGGGCGGGUGUGACUCCACGGGUCUAGCACCUGGUGCCGUUCUCACACCUGGUGCCGUUCUCACCACCAGCAGCUGGGCGGUAACAUCUCCAGUUCCAGACAGCACCUAUACUUAAAUGAUACAACAGAGGCUCAAGCCUGCUAUCUGUCUGUUCUGUCUCCUUUAGGAAGAGACAACACACAAAAAGCAGAGCCCAACUUGGGCUUCUUAACCAAGGAUCCACACUCUACAUCUGGAUUCUUGGCAUGGCUCCAAGAUUAUAUCUGCUCUCCGCCAAGCCCAGCAUGAAACUGUAAAGGAAGAUAAACUUGGGAAACAUAGGGCAUGUGCCUGGUAUAAAGAGGCAAUUUCAUGGCCCAGGGGCAGCCAAAACCUCCACCCACGGCUUCUGACAAGACCAGAAAGAUUUCAAAAGGCAAACUACAGAAACCAACAGCCAGAAUGGACCAUUUUCCAACUUUAAAGAAUGAAGCAAAGGGAUACCUCGGAGAAAAAGGACACUGGGCAUUGUGAGAGAGACAAAGGACGUGUCCAGCACAGGGGCAGCACAAGUUAAGGGUGUCCCACGUCUCAACAACACUGCUGACACCUAAACAUCUCCCAGCUCUGGGCCCUCCUGGGCUAGAUUUAGCAUUUGAAAUCUAGCACCCACAAAGCCUUUUUCCAUGUGUCCUGGAAAUGAACCAAAGCAAAGAGGGGAUAAUGCAAGGAUAAAGAUCUUUCCAUUCAUUUUGGGGGGCUCCCCACCGAAUGAAUUCAGGAAAUAACAGACACCCCCAUCUCCUCUGAUGAAGGAGCAGAGGGCUUCCAGCUCUGGUAACAGAGGAAGAUGCAGGACUUGUGCCCCAAAGCCCCCUUCUACUACUAUGACUGCAUAAUUCCACCAGCUUCCAAUCUUCAGUCCCUCUGCUCCUGGGUCGAGGAGGAAUCACUAGGGAAGUAGGAGAAUAAAGGAAAGGAUGAAGAGCAGAAGGAAGGAGAGAAGGAAGGAAUGCAGGCUUUCCUAUUGACUACCUUCGAAAUACCCACAGUGAAGGGGAUCUGGGCCCCUGAGAAAACCUGGCAGGGGGGCAAUGAAACAGAAGAAAGAAUACAAAGUAACUGAGAUGUUUAUAAUAACUUGGCUUUGGGCCAUGGAAAGAAGCGUUAGUCAUACAGGUAAUGAGAUCUUACACGGAGAUGAGCUGGAGGCUCGGUUUGACAACGUUAGGUAUGCCCAUUCUGGACCUAGAGUGCCAAUUACAUUUCCAAAUUGGCAAUUAGACAUAAUGUCCCCAAAACAAUCACCUAAUCAUGCCAAAAGCAAAGCAAAUUUCGUCUCAAAGCAGUCAUUCUUUUGAAGCUGCCCUUCCAUCCCCUGCCUGACUCAUGCGCCUCGUAGACAACUGCUCGUUGUCUACUGGUCAAGACCGACCAGGCAGAAUGAAUCAUUUAAAUCUAGGGAUGACUCAAACAUCAUUCUGUCACCAAAUCAACCCACCCCAUUCACCCAGAGUUUCUCCAUGGCAUGUAUCAAAUCACCCCCCCAACAUGCACACACAAAUAGCACAACGUAUUUUUUACCUACUACACUAGAGAACCACCAUUGAAAGGGCCCUCCCAACUCAAAUAUGUGCUUGCACUUCUAUGACUCACUUCCUGCCCUCAGGGGGUCUGCAGGCAACUUAGACACCAAGCAUGUGCACACCCCAUGAGAAGAUAACUGGGUUUUUUCCCUCCCACCCUGUCAACUAGAAGUCAGAAUGGGGUCCUCUAUUUCCCCAAGUACCUAGCUCGGUACAUAGUAUGCACCUACUAUGCAAUAAAAGUAAAAAUAACAACUACAAUGACCAUAAGAUUUGAGAACCUAUUCUGUAUUGAGCGUUAUACUAAGUCCUUCUUUAUUAGGACAGCUGGAGAUGCUCAUGGGUCAAGUUUACUCCAGGUUCUCCCCUUGGACAAUAGAACAACAUAAAAAGCACAUCUCAGGGAAAAAGUCCUUAACGGCAUGAGCUGUGACAAACUUUGCUGCCAUGAGAGAAAGGGCUAGUUUCAAUUUCAUAGGAUAGAAUUCUGGAGAGAUGCCGCUGGAGGCCUGCACAGCACAAUGCAACCUGUCUCCUGCCUCCCCGCAGGGAUCAGGGCUGGAGCCCCAUCCUUUCAUGCUAGACCUCUGUUGGGAAGGCCCACCCAGGUCCCUAUGGAAAAUCAGUCUGGCAGUGUUGCUGUGUACUAACUUCAAACACACCAGAGGGCGUGGCCAGCAGCUAACUUCCCAGAGCAUCACCACAGUAUGGCCCUGGCUACAACAGGAGCCUUUAAUUUUGCAAAAAGGUGGUUUGGCUAGGUUGCCAUUCUGAACUUCAGAAAGCUUCUCCCUUUGCAGUAUGACCAACUGGCAUGAGAGAGCCCACAGGCGACACACAGACCACACCCUGCAUAUCUGUAGAACACUGCGGUGGCCGCCACAACCCCACCCCAAGCCAACAGCACUGCGGGUUCCUUGGAAAGAGGCACCCCGCAAUCAGCUUUAGCAGCAGGCGCCCAGGCUGGUCUGCAGCAACUCAGAGAGCCUGAGCAGAGUUUCCGCGACCUGACUAUCUUGGCACAGGGGACCUUCCUCUUCUCAUCACUUCCUACUCUGAAGAGUAGGGAAUUUCAUAUUUAAAAAUAGGCCUGUGUUUUGGGAGGAACCCUCUGGAGGCUGAGAAAUGGACCAGAUCCUUGCUACUCCUGGGGCAGUCCUUGUCAGGAAGGCAGAAUCUCAGGGCCCACUCUGGACUUUCUGAAUCUGAAUCUGUAUUUUAAUACUCCUCAGGUGAUUUGUGUGUACAUUAGGGUGUGAGAGGCCCCAGGAUUACAUGGACUAGAUGCUCUAUCCAGCCCUGGAGGCAGAGAUCUGAUACCCCAAUGGAACAUUCCUUAAGCCUUCUAUCCAGAAUGCUGAGACCCCCUGCCUCUGAGAGUAGGGCCCCUGAGUUUCUUUCCUCACCUGCCCAGGGCCAGAAUUCCACCCACUCAAGGUGCAUUUCAACAAAGGAGAAACACUUUGUUCCCUACUGUGUACAGAAUGGCUGUGGGAUUCCAGGGGUCCUGCAGGAGGCUUGAUCUUGCCUGACCCUCAGGUAGGACUCCAUGAAGACCAGAGCUCUCAGCUGGGCUCCAGGAAGGAGCUGUGGGAACACACACACACAGCUCUUUCCACGAGAACCACAGGGGCAGCUCUCCAGGGGCUCCGCAGCUCUGGAGUCCCAGGAAGGUGCACUGCCUGCUGUAAUUCACAGGUUAGCACAGCCACUGCCACUAUGAGCUGGGACACCCCUGCUACCAAGGUUGGGAAGGAGGUCUUGGCACUACGAUCCAAUGCCAACCUGUUUCAGCAGAGGCUUCUCUUGCCCUGGUGAGGAGGGAGGGGGACAGAAAGAAAGCAACAAAGCAAGCAUUUACUCCUGCUACCAGGCACCCAAUGAAUGCCCCAUUCAGAAAAGAAGAUAGUGGUGAGGCAAAGAAGAGUCCCACCUGGGUUUGCCCUUGGAAUCCUUACUCCCCUAGGCCAAAUGCUAGGGCAGCUCGUCCUUUCCUCCUGAUGUACGUCUGGACAAGGCCCUUGGGCACCUGGAAGCAAGGUCAGCCCAUGGCUUGCAGUCACUAUGUCCUCCUAGGAAGUGCUACAAAAUGGGGUUAUGGAGAGUACCUACCCACUAGGGCUGUGGUCUAUUACAAUUCCCAAUGUGCAGGUGAGGAAACUGAGGCACAGGGCAAUGGAGUCUUUGCCCAAGGUCACAAGCUGACAGCUGAGUGCUGCACAGCAGGCUUGACAUCUAGGCAAGGCUGCUCUACAUGAGCACAGUCCAGAGCCUUUCAACCAGUUUCUCUGCUGCAGGACUUCCCUGAGCCUGGGACUCCCCAAACGGCCACCCAGUAGGCCGUGCCUCUCAAUUUUUCACAAGGUAACUUCAAGGGCAAGUGCUCCACAGAAUACUAAAACUGAUCCAGAGCAUCCUGGAGCAUCCUCUUUAAGACACUGUUACUUUACUGAGGGAACAGAUCUGUGAGCUCCAGACUGGGCUUACAGGGAUAGAAUUGUUCCUUCUCAAGGAAGGGUGGGCAGCCACAUCUGAGCAACAAAGCUUUCACUUCUGAUAGGCCUACAGGCCCAGGAGCCCCGCAACGUCAAUGCUCGUCCAAGAACGUCCACACCAUAAAGCACUAGCGAUCCUGCCAGAUGCUCAUCCACAGAGCGCUCCCUGGCUAACCCUCCCCACCCUUCCAGCCCUGCAGCAGCAGAAAGUCAUGAGCCCGGAUCUCGGUCUGGCUCUGAUUGUUAGACAGUUGACUUCAGGCUCUCAAAAGUUCUAUUCAUUGCAGUGUGUGCCCUACAAGGGCCAAAAGUUAAGGAAUCAAGAGAAAAUAAACUCACCACCUUGUGGAGCUACAGAGUAGCUCCCAUUUACAGGAGACUGCUAAAUGCCAGGCAUUUGCUAGAUGCUAUGUGCCCAUUACUGCCACUCCUUAUAAGGGUCUUACAAAGAAAACAUCAUUAGGCUCUUUUUAUGGAAGAAGACAUCAAGGCUUGACAUAGUUGCCAGACAAAGGUGCCCAGCUAAUAAAUGUGAGAUCACUAUGUGCACUUGGGUCUCACUGCAGAGUCUCUGCAUGUGUCUUUCCAUAAAGAAAGUGAGACACAAGAAGCAAAAGCUGUCUGGAUAAGGGAAGGUCAGCUGGACUGGGACCUGAGACCUUCUCCAAGGCCUAAGCGAUCUCACCAAGAAGCAGUAUCUGAAGGUCAUGCGAUGUGGCUGAUCCCCAGCAUGAGAUGAGGCACCAGGGCCAAUGUGGCAUCAAGAAUUCAGAGGCCCUGAAGCUCCAGCCCUGAUUGGAUGCAUCAGGCCAGACCCUGGGCAAUUACCAAGCUGUAAUAGGAUCUGAUAUUUAUAUUAGUCACGAGCCUGGCAGAGAAAACAUGUUGUUUUUUCAGACACAGCCAUGGAGAUAACACCUCAAUAAUUCAUUACAUGCAGACCAACCCCAAUCAAGCCCAAACUUCUACAGGGAGGACAGCUCUAACUCAGAGCAGGCCUGAGUCCAUGCCCACCGUGCAGGCCCCUCAGCAAACCACAGCUCCACAGGAAGUCAGCCUCAGCUUCCCUGGACUAAUGGGGGAAAAAAGGAAACCGUUGUGCUGAAUGAGGAGCAGGAGGUGGAAAGAAAGGCACAUAAACUGAAUUCCUAAAGGAAUCGUUGCACCAUUGCAAAAUACAUUCUGAGCUAGAAAGUUUACCCAUAGUCUCUCAACUCCUUCCACUCCCUGACAUGGAAUCACAGAGCACAAGGGCCAGGAGAACACACAGAAUUCAAUCUCCACAUUUUAAACACAAGAAACGAGAGACCAGAGAGGUUAAAUGACUUCUUCAAGGUCACAGCCGUAUUCGGGCUGCCAGAGCAGCUCCCUGUUCACUACAGUCUGCUACCAGGUUGGACCUCAAACUGUCACAGCCCAGUGAAGAGAGCUGUGAUGAAACUCAACAGACACAAAACAAUGUGACAGAGUGCAGCAAAGAACACAGUCCUGAGUGACUGUGUCCAAGUUCUCAACAAGGGGGAAAUGUGAUUCUUUUUCUUCUUUAUUUCCUAAAAAGAAAAACGCAAUACAAUUCUUUGCCAAAUAAUAGAGUCAUUCACCAUUUGGGAUUCAGAGGCCAAAGGUACUAAUGAUACACCCACAGUCCCAGGUUCCUUUGAUCAGAGAGGAUGGUGCAGUUCCAGAGACCAAGCACUUAAGAUUCCCCAGCUCCCUGCUGAAACUCAUCUCCCAUGGAAUUGCUAAUGCUAAAAAGACCAGCCUUCCACUGGACCCCGGCUCCUGGUCAGACCAUCUUGGGUCUGAAUGAAGGUGAGGGUGAACACACCUGAGGGCCAGUAGAGUUCUGUGGAAAAGCAGCCUAGGUUUGCUUGGGAAACCCAGCAGUAAAAUAAUUAUUCCAAGUUCAAGCUGAAUGCAUUCUUUUGUGCAGCAUCUCAACAACUACCAAUACUUGGAAAGCAAAAAGAGUGAAGGGCAAAAAAACCACGACUGCAAGAGACAUCAAGGGUAGAAAGAAUAGCUUGUAAAAGGCCUAAGUUAUUACCAUUGGGCAUAAAGAGCUGGCUACACUAGGCUUCAUUAAGCAAAUCAAGGGGCAGAUAUUAAGAGAUCUGGGCAUGAUUUAAAAUGAACUCUAAUGGUACCAAAGUGACCUGAUCUUGUCCUACAUUGCUUCCUGUCUCCCCCACCGACUGCAAGCAUCUCUGAUUUUUGUAGAAACUUCCAGUUAUGUCAACUUAAGAGCUCUUGAAGCUACAAAAUACAGCCUAAUACAGGGAUUGUUUUAUUUUUGCAGUGAUCAUUGCCAAAAACCUAUUUUCUUGAAGGAAAAAGGCAGAAGUUAUGCUUGCUCCUCAUUCAAGAAAGAGAUUCCUUCUGCGAACGAUGUGAUGAGCAUUUCAUCACAGGCACUGCAGUGGCUUUAAGGAACCCCCUGGAGUCAAAAGACCUUAGAGACUGUUUAAAACCCCAGGGUCACAAAAACAUCAAAACUUACUUUGAUUCAUUGCAGAAAAAAGUUUUCAUUAUAAUCAGGAUUGUCCAGUUCCUUAUGGAUAAGGAAGCUGUUAAAAAGUUCACCAAAAUCACUCCGCCUAGAGAACAUUUGAGAUGUGCACAACCAUGAGCUAUCUCUCCCCUUGGCCUGACACCAAACCUCAGCGAGGGAAAAUAAACUUGAGGGCUGAAGGCUCCAGGGGGGUGGAGGAGAGGAAAUGGGUGGGUAAGGAGGUCCUAUGAGUAGGCAGUUGUUAAAUGGAGGGCAAUGCUGGGGGGGCACAGUCUUGGGGUCUCUGUGCUUAGGAUUCUGCUUCAUCUGAUGGCUGCUCUGGAAUGCGGGAGGCUGUCCACCUUGACAAGUAAGGAGAAACCUCUCCUGAGAAGGAAACUCCAAAAAAACCAGGCUGGCCCAACAUCUGGAGGCUUCUGGAGAAGUAGGAGGAGAGGGAGAGAUUUUAUUUUUCUCCCUUAUUUCCAACUCACCAGUAUUUUCCAAAACACAAACGUGCUGCCACAAAACACAGCUGAGCUCCAGCACCCAACAGGAUGCAUUAUUAAUGGCCUGGAGAGCGAGGUUCAGUUCACUCCUGUGUGUCACCCACAGACCCAGGUUUCCCUACUUCUUCCUGUAGCAGCGGAGGAGUCUGCGACAAGUUGCUGUGCCCUGUGGAAGUUUGAGGGGUCCUCCGACCAACUUUCCCAGGAAAGGUUUCUAAAGUGCGGGCUGUUGUGCUCCCAUUCGCCCACCGAAAGGAACCGAGCCUCGGCAGGUGGGCCGUGCGGAACGCGCACCCAGCGGCCCCCAGCUUCCUCGUUGCCCGCGGGGUUGGCUCUCCCUACCCCGCACCACAGCGCCCGAGCG